RNAcentral lists this long non-coding RNA (3818 nucleotides) under Anas zonorhyncha (Eastern spot-billed duck). Its description in RNAcentral is "lncRNA (ENSAZOG00000000005.1)". The record is from RNAcentral. Lineage: Eukaryota; Metazoa; Chordata; Aves; Anseriformes; Anatidae.
CUCUCCAGAGUGGAACUAUGUUGAGCCUCAAAUCAAGGAAGACCUCUGCAUAAAAAAAGAUGAUGGAGAAUUCUGGUAUUUCCCUAUCAAUUCUUCUGUCUACCAGGUUUUCUAUUUGCAUUCAUUAUGAAAGAAAGAUCAUUUAGGCAUUUUUGUCUCUGCUUUUAUUGAUGGCUCAAAGUGCCUCCGUGUUAAUUGCGUGCAAACAGCAAAUUGGAGGUUGUCCGGAUCCAAUGGUCUCAGAAGAAAUGAGAAUUGGAGAAAUGAAACUGGCCAAUAUGAUGCAACAAACUGGUGAAAAAAGUGAAAUAAAUGAAGUGAAAAUACAGCUCACUGAGACCUAGUCCCUUUGUCACAUUUUCCUUCCCCCUAAAGAGACCAGCUUGAACUUCAGCUGCUCAGAGGAAUAGGUGGCUGGAGCUUAUGCACUUGACUGCUCUGCAGGUGCCUGUGGCUUUUCACAGCCUCUGAAUACUCUGAAGUCCCGCUUAACCAUGGGUUAGACAUCCUUUAGAAGGCCUAUUAUUCUUCAGAAAGUCCACACUUACCAUGUGAGGCUCUGGGGAAUGCAGGGGAACAGCAGGCUGGGCUGAGAUGGACUCGUCAGGCUUUAGUAAAGGCAGGACAGGAUGUCACAGAGGGACAGAGCAAGGCACCAUAGCAGAGUUGUACUCGAGACAGUAGGACUCCACGUAGGCACUGCUAAACAUAUCAUAUAAUUUCAGUGGGGGUUUAGGUGUAAUUAGGGCUGUCCAAAAGCACCAAGAGCUGACCUCUUCUGCACGGUGUCAGCCCACUCGGCUACGCUGUGCAGCACUGCUCUAACCCUACUUGGAGACAUAGGGGGUGAAAAUGAAUACCUCACUGGUGUCUCAGACUGAAAAACGAGGCUUUCUCUGUCUUUGCAGGAUGUCCUGUGAAGACUUUUGUGAGCAGUUUUCCUGGCUGUGUAUAUGUAACAGCACCCCAACGUUUCUGGACUUUGGAGAUCAGCGUGGCAUGACAUGGUCCGUGGACAGGCACAUCGACCUGUGGAGUAAUUCACUCUCCACAGGCAGGAACAACUCUUCCCUCGCAGGUGCAGUUUCGAAGAACCCUAAGUAUUUCUUCGAAGUGACAAGUAAUGCUCCCCAAAGCUAUAAUGUGGUCAUUUCACUCAUCCAAAAACAUGCUGAGGGUAUGCAGGAUGCACAGACAUCGAGGAUUGGCUUUUCAAUCACAAAGGUAAGCACAAUCAGGUAUAAUACAGAUGCUGUUUUCUGUGUGGGUUAUUGUAUCUGUACAUGUAAACAAAAGACUGAAUUGCCUUUUGGGCUGUUAAAGGAGAGCAGUCAGUAUUGGAGUGAAUUUCUGGAUGUUUUCUUUAUUAGGAAGACAUAGGAAAAGUAGGGCUAAGCAGGCUUAGUUUCCUUUAUUCAUAUCUUGAGAAGAAAAUCUGAAUUUUCAGUUUUGUUGCAUCCUAAAAUACCCCUGGGAAACUCAGAGGAUCCACAGGUUACACAAGAUGCUAGGGCAGUGACCUCUGUGUCCAGCCUUGCUGGUCCAGCAAAAUGCCUGGCAGCCAGCACAAACCCCAGUGCUCCAAGUCAAGCAAAAAAGAGAACGGGCUCUUGUUCCCCCUGAAUGGGCAUCACAGAAAUGCAGUGCAAAAAACAUUUGCAAAACACUUGGGAAAGCUUUGUGCAAGACCGAUACAGAGCCAAUCUAGUCAGAUAAAUGGGACCUCCAACUAAAAUUUCCCCCCUUUUUUUUCUUGGUGACUGCCUGGGCAUGUGCCAGUUCAAGGACAAUUACUGUCAGAGUAUUACCAAGCUUACUGAAAGUGCAGUUGCUGGUAGAGAUGGCUGCUAGCAGUUUUCCAAAGUGUUUUUGUUCUUGUCGUAGGGAGAUUGGAAGGAAUUAUUCUUAACCCGAAGAAUAAAAGGAAGCAAAGAUUUCUUUGAUCCUAACUUCACAUUCGCCCUAACUUCACAAUUCUCCUGAUCACUGGAGAGUUUUGCCUUAGUCUCAGACUUUGAAUAAUUGAUGCCGUAAGUUUAACAGUUCCUCAGAGGAAGGAAGAGAAUGGCUUUGUAGCUCAUAAAAACAGUAUCUUAUAUCUGAUGAGAAAUACAAAAUGUAAUAAAAUGACCAUUCCUUCAGGGAGUGGAACUCAUUAUCCUUACUCAAGAAGAUCCUCUGGUGCAGAUAUCAGCCCUGCAGGAUGCUGUGGUGCUCAAAAAGAGCAGCUGCUCCUAGUACAGGGGGAACUUGCUCCUUCCAGCAUCCUCACCAGCUGCCCAAGCAGUCACCAGACAUGGAGGCCCCUGACUGCUCUAGUAUGGUGCAUGCCAUCUUGAUUAGUCACCCAUUUUGACAGAAAGGAUUCUCACUGAGUAGUCACGGCAUAGUUCUGGGGUCCCUUGGAAAGGGGGUUCUGUUUAAUCAGGAAGUAGACCAGGAGACAGAUUUGGUUCUUGCUUUGUGUUAAAACUUGCUUUUUAUUUAUUUAUUUAUUUAUUUCCCACCUCUAAUUGAUGCUCAAGUAUGUUCAUUUCAUUUUUUUUUUCUUGGCACAUUCCCAAGAUCAGAUGAAAUUUGAUGGGUGUGUCGAGGCUGGGUGAUAUGACCUCUAUGGGGUGUCAGCCCAUGGCUCACCUUGUGCACAGGCUGGGCUUCUGGUCCAAGGUCAUCUCCCAUGCAGGAGCUGGAAGGCGAGGCCAGGCCAGGUGAUUACCAGGGACACCGGCAUUGCUUUGGAGCAGCUGGUCAGUGAAAGUUUAUGAGGGGGUUGUUUGAAGAAGGGGAGUGCAAUUGCAAAGAUUCAUGAGGCCUCACUUUUCCUGCUUCAACUGCUUUCAUAGCUGGCACUCAUCAGCAUCAUCGUUCAUUGCUCACUAUUUAUUUGAGACUCAUCAUAUUGUUGCUGUAAAGUAAAAAGUGCAUCAUCCAUUGGCAGGAUGAGGGGAAUGCAGUACAGGCAAGGAUGUGAACCCGAAUGGACAUAUCUGAUAGCUCUAGGAAUCCUUUGAUUAAGUAUAGACAUGGAGCACUAAUACAUAGCUGUGAGGUAGGCUUAAUGUUGCGUGACAGAGCUGAGCAACCUAUAGAGGCUGAUUCUUAUCUCACACCAGUUUUGACUCCUUUGAGAUAUUAACCUGCUUCUGCUUUUUUACCAGAAGAAACGUCAAAUGAGGCCCAAAAGUAAAAAAGAUUAUGUCAUUUAUUUCUUUGCAGCACUGACCAUUUCCAUCUACUCAAAAUCUGGCCCAUAAGGCUUGGCAGUCUACAUGCCUCCUAGUCCUCUGUAACAGUCAUCUUUUUUUUUUUUCUUUUUUUUUUUCUUUUCUCCCAGAAUAGCAGUUUUAUGUUAUUUUCUCCCAAAGGCAUGGCUCAUAAAUAACUCUGCCAUGCUUUAUAACCAUUCUAAAUAGAAUUUAUACACGCUGAUGUAUUUUGGGGAAUAUGUUUAGUAAGUGUUUUUUUAUUACGCUAUCUUUACAUGUCCUAAUAGUAAUAGCUGUUGCAUUAUAUUAGUUUCAUCUCAGCAAAAAUACUGGAAUGACAGAAGAAAGAUCAGAAUGUUCUGUUUUCUCGUGACACUUGCUGGAAGGUUUGAGUUGUGAUUCUUGAAGCACUGUAAUCUGGGUGAGAUGCUUACUGAGCUCUCUGAUGACUCUGGGAUAUGUUAGGGAAGCAUAUCAGGGAAUCAUACCAGCUAUCUCAGGGAAGUUUUAGUAAGAGUAAUUAUCCUUGUUUCCUUGACGAAUUCUAGUCUGCUUGAUGUUAAUAGAAUUUCUUAUGAAAUCCACUUAAACAUAUUGCUCCUUCCUUUCCUU